AACGGCGUCGAGNGNCGGACGGGUGAGUAAUGCCUAGGAAAUUGCCUUGAUGUGGGGGAUAACCAUUGGAAACGAUGGCUAAUACCGCAUAAUGCCUACGGGCCAAAGAGGGGGACCUUCGGGCCUCUCGCGUCAAGAUAUGCCUAGGUGGGAUUAGCUAGUUGGUGAGGUAAUGGCUCACCAAGGCGACGAUCCCUAGCUGGUCUGAGAGGAUGAUCAGCCACACUGGAACUGAGACACGGUCCAGACUCCUACGGGAGGCAGCAGUGGGGAAUAUUGCACAAUGGGCGAAAGCCUGAUGCAGCCAUGCCGCGUGUAUGAAGAAGGCCUUCGGGUUGUAAAGUACUUUCAGUUGUGAGGAAGGGGGUGUCGUUAAUAGCGGCAUCUCUUGACGUUAGCAACAGAAGAAGCACCGGCUAACUCCGUGCCAGCAGCCGCGGUAAUACGGAGGGUGCGAGCGUUAAUCGGAAUUACUGGGCGUAAAGCGCAUGCAGGUGGUUCAUUAAGUCAGAUGUGAAAGCCCGGGGCUCAACCUCGGAACUGCAUUUGAAACUGGUGAACUAGAGUACUGUAGAGGGGGGUAGAAUUUCAGGUGUAGCGGUGAAAUGCGUAGAGAUCUGAAGGAAUACCAGUGGCGAAGGCGGCCCCCUNNNAGAUACUGACACUCAGAUGCGAAAGCGUGGGGAGCAAACAGGAUUAGAUACCCUNNAGUCCACGCCGUAAACGAUGUCUACUUG
Molecule: ribosomal RNA, 737 nt
Filed under: Vibrio sp. KR08-05
Lineage: Bacteria; Pseudomonadati; Pseudomonadota; Gammaproteobacteria; Vibrionales; Vibrionaceae
Description: bacterial SSU rRNA
Rfam family: Bacterial small subunit ribosomal RNA
Source: RNAcentral